Molecule: ribosomal RNA, 112 nt
Filed under: Petromyzon marinus (sea lamprey)
Lineage: Eukaryota; Metazoa; Chordata; Hyperoartia; Petromyzontiformes; Petromyzontidae
Source: RNAcentral
UCCUACAUCGCUGUGAAUGCGCCUUACCCUGACAACUCUUGAAAGCCACGCGGGUUUAACCUGCUUAGUAAUUGGAUGGGAGAUUGACUGGGAAUAUCUGGUGUUGUAGGCU